This 905-nucleotide long non-coding RNA is filed under the name Nicotiana benthamiana. RNAcentral describes it as "long non-coding RNA (NBEN_LNC019894)". The record is from RNAcentral. Lineage: Eukaryota; Viridiplantae; Streptophyta; Magnoliopsida; Solanales; Solanaceae.
UGCGUUAAUUGCUUCCUCAUUUCAUAUUCAACUCUCUCCUUUCUUGUAGUAACUCAUAAUUUAAUUAUAUAUACUACUCAUAUUAUGAACAUAAGACUUAAACCCUAAAGAAAAAGUUUAGUUAAGAAGAGAUGGCACAUAGUAGAAGAAAUAUUAGGGUUUUGAGCUUAGCCAUUUUAUUGGUUAGUGUUAUUGUAGCUUGUAGUCUUUUGGACGGAUGUUUUGCACAGGCAGGGUACGGCGUCACCUUGAAUGAAGAGAGCAAUAUUGGUAAAUUUCAUGCAGCUCUAACUUUCUGCAAUAGUGCUGAUGUUGAAAAUCAAAGUUGUUGUAAAGCACUCAAUGCUCUUGAUCUAGCAUGGAAUUCUUUGCUUGGAAGGAAUUUUGUAGAUGAUCUCUUCAAAUGUGGUAUUAUUCCACCACGUUGAGUUAGUUACAUUAUAUAUUUUCUUGUCCGUAGAAUUUUAUUACUACAUCUUGUUUCUUUCGAUUCGGUUUUCUCUCUAUCUUAUCAUGUAGUUGUUACCGUUUGUUAUUACUAUUUCCUAUUCAUCUUUUCUUGAGUCGAGAUCUAUUCGAUAUAAUAUCUCCACCUUCACAGAAUAGGAGUAAGGUUUGCGUAUCCACAGAGACGAAUACAAUGUAGUAUCUCUUUACCUUCACAAAGUAAGAGUAUAAGAUCUGCGCACCCAUAGAGGCAGAAGCAAUGUAUCGAUAUCGGGUUAAACUGGACGCAGUACUUUUGAUACGGAGCAUAAAUUUAUAUGUGAAAAUCCAUUAAUGUUGUAAUAUAUAGCAAUAUCAACCCAUAACUUUUAAAUGACAGUGAGUACAACGCUAAAAAACAUAAAGGUUUGUACCCAUAAACUAUAAAUACUAGAUCCGCCUCUAUGUAUACAUUACCC